Molecule: ribosomal RNA, 345 nt
Filed under: Triticum aestivum (bread wheat)
Lineage: Eukaryota; Viridiplantae; Streptophyta; Magnoliopsida; Poales; Poaceae
Description: partial small subunit ribosomal RNA
Source: RNAcentral
AUGGAAGAAUUGAUCAGCUGCUUGCAUGCUUGCCGUGCUGCCAUGAUCAAUCUAGCACUGUGGAUUGCUCACCGGCGACGGAUAGAGCCAGAGGCAUCAUAUCUUGGUCUGACGGGGGGACUGUGGAGAUGUGGACCUGCAUGGCUCCUGGUCGUGUUGGCCAGCGCGACCAUGGCCGCCAACUCCGGAUCCGCUCCCCGUGGCAAGUCACAAGAGAGAUGGGGAAUGAACAAACAGGAAGAGCUUGGCUUGGUUGAUCGAGGACAUGGGCAAUUUGGGCCCACCUGUAAGAGGCAAAUCCUCAAAGUCCCAACUAAAAAGUGCAAAAUAUCAAUUGCAAAGUAG